GGGAUAAUAGUUAAAAAUAACAUUUAAAUUGCAAUUAAAAAAUAUUGACUAUCAAUCAAUUUAUCUCA
RNAcentral lists this transfer RNA (68 nucleotides) under Colasposoma dauricum. RNAcentral's name for it is "tRNA-Ala". Lineage: Eukaryota; Metazoa; Arthropoda; Insecta; Coleoptera; Chrysomelidae. The record is from RNAcentral.